AAAAAGGAAAAAGAAACCGAAUAAGGAAAUGAAAAUCGAAUAAGGAAAUGAAAAUCCAAUAAGGAAAUAGAAACUGAAUAAGGAAAUAGAAACCGAAAAAGGAAAUGAAUAUUGAAAAAAGAAAAAGAAACCGAAUAAGGAAAUGAAAAUCGAAUAAAGAAAUGGAAAUCGAAUAAGGAAAUGAAAAUCCAAUAAGGAAAUAGAAACUGAAUAAGGAAAUAGAAACCGAAUAAGGAAAUGAAUAUUGAAAAAGGAAAAAGAAACCGAAUAAGGAAAUGAAAAUUGAAUAAGGAAAUGGAAAUCGAAUAAGGAAAUGAAAAUCCAAUAAGGAAAUAGAAACCGAAAA
Molecule: long non-coding RNA, 346 nt
Filed under: Mytilus galloprovincialis (Mediterranean mussel)
Lineage: Eukaryota; Metazoa; Mollusca; Bivalvia; Mytilida; Mytilidae
Source: RNAcentral